RNAcentral lists this ribosomal RNA (584 nucleotides) under Caryophanaceae bacterium. RNAcentral's name for it is "bacterial SSU rRNA". It matches the Rfam family "Bacterial small subunit ribosomal RNA", at positions 353 to 931 of the family's 1533-position model. Lineage: Bacteria; Bacillati; Bacillota; Bacilli; Caryophanales; Caryophanaceae. The record is from RNAcentral.
AGUAGGGAUCUUCCGCAUGGACGCAAGUCUGACGGAGCAACGCCGCGUGAGUGACGAAGGUUUUCGGAUCGUAAAACUCUGUUGUGAGGGAAGAACAAGUACCAACUAACUACUGGUACCUUGACGGUACCUCACCAGAAAGCCACGGCUAACUACGUGCCAGCAGCCGCGGUAAUACGUAGGUGGCAAGCGUUGUCCGGAAUUAUUGGGCGUAAAGCGCGCGCAGGCGGUCCCUUAAGUCUGAUGUGAAAGCCCACGGCUCAACCGUGGAGGGUCAUUGGAAACUGGGGGACUUGAGUGCAGAAGAGGAAAGUGGAAUUCCACGUGUAGCGGUGAAAUGCGUAGAGAUGUGGAGGAACACCAGUGGCGAAGGCGACUUUCUGGUCUGUAACUGACGCUGAGGCGCGAAAGCGUGGGGAGCAAACAGGAUUAGAUACCCUGGUAGUCCACGCCGUAAACGAUGAGUGCUAAGUGUUAGGGGGUUUCCGCCCCUUAGUGCUGCAGCUAACGCAUUAAGCACUCCGCCUGGGGAGUACGGCCGCAAGGCUGAAACUCAAAGGAAUUGACGGGGGCCCGCACAAGAA